RNAcentral lists this ribosomal RNA (369 nucleotides) under uncultured bacterium. RNAcentral's name for it is "bacterial SSU rRNA". It matches the Rfam family "Bacterial small subunit ribosomal RNA", at positions 390 to 775 of the family's 1533-position model. The record is from RNAcentral.
AGCAACGCCGCGUAUGCGAAGAAGGCCUUCGGGUUGAAAAGCACUAAUUGAGAGAAUGAGGCAGGACGGUACUAUCAGAAUAAAUAAAGGCUAACUACGUGCCAGCAGCCGCGGUAACACGUAGGAGGCGAACGUUAUCCGGAUUUACUGGGCGUAAAGCGCGUGUAGGUGGUUUGGUAAGUAGGGCGUGAAAGCUCCUGGCUCAACUGGGAGAGGCCGUUCUAAACUGCCGAACUAGAGGAUGGUAGAGGGAGGUGGAAUUCCGGGUGUAGCGGUGGAAUGCGCAGAUAUCCGGAGGAACACCAGUGGCGAAAGCGGCCUCCUGGACCAUUCCUGACACUCAGACGCGAAAGCUAGGGUAGCAAACGG